This 720-nucleotide ribosomal RNA is filed under the name uncultured Bacilli bacterium. Its description in RNAcentral is "bacterial SSU rRNA". It matches the Rfam family "Bacterial small subunit ribosomal RNA", at positions 48 to 739 of the family's 1533-position model. Lineage: Bacteria; Bacillati; Bacillota; Bacilli. The record is from RNAcentral.
CUAAUACAUGCAAGUCGAACGCUUCUUUCCUCCCGAGUGCUUGCACUCAAUUGGAAAGAGGAGUGGCGGACGGGUGAGUAACACGUGGGUAACCUACCCAUCAGAGGGGGAUAACACUUGGAAACAGGUGCUAAUACCGCAUAACAGUUUAUGCCGCAUGGCAUAAGAGUGAAAGGUGCUUUCGGGUGUCGCUGAUGGAUGGACCCGCGGUGCAUUAGCUAGUUGGUGAGGUAACGGCUCACCAAGGCCACGAUGCAUAGCCGACCUGAGAGGGUGAUCGGCCACACUGGGACUGAGACACGGCCCAGACUCCUACGGGAGGCAGCAGUAGGGAAUCUUCGGCAAUGGACGAAAGUCUGACCGAGCAACGCCGCGUGAGUGAAGAAGGUUUUCGGAUCGUAAAACUCUGUUGUUAGAGAAGAACAAGGACGUUAGUAACUGAACGUCCCCUGACGGUAUCUAACCAGAAAGCCACGGCUAACUACGUGCCAGCAGGCGCGGUAAUACGUAGGUGGCAAGCGUUGUCCGGAUUUAUUGGGCGUAAAGCGAGCGCAGGCGGUUUCUUAAGUCUGAUGUGAAAGCCCCCGGCUCAACCGGGGAGGGUCAUUGGAAACUGGGAGACUUGAGUGCAGAAGAGGAGAGUGGAAUUCCAUGUGUAGCGGUGAAAUGCGUAGAUAUAUGGAGGAACACCAGUGGCGAAGGCGGCUCUCUGGUCUGUAA